AGCGAACGCUGGCGGCGUGCUUAACACAUGCAAGUCGAACGCGCAGCAUUCUGUAGCAAUACAGGAUGUGGGCGCGUGGCGAACGGGUGCGUAACACGUGGAUAACCUUCCUUCAGGUGGGGAAUAACCCAGCGAAAGUUGGGCUAAUACCGCAUCACAUUACGAGGGCACAUGCUCUUGUACUCAAAGCCGCAAGGCGCCAGAAGAGGGAUCCGCGGCCGAUUAGCUAGUUGGCGAGGUAAUGGCUCACCAAGGCAAUGAUCGGUAGCCGGACUGAGAGGUUGGCCGGCCACACUGGAACUGAGACACGGUCCAGACUCCUACGGGAGGCAGCAGUGGGGAAUCUUGCGCAAUGGGCGAAAGCCUGACGCAGCAACGCCGCGUGGGGGAUGAAGCUUCUCGGAGUGUAAACCCCUUUCGACCCGGAAGAAUGCCCGCAAGGGUUUGACGGUACGGGUAUAAGAAGCCCCGGCUAACUACGUGCCAGCAGCCGCGGUAAUACGUAGGGGGCCAGCGUUGCUCGGAAUUACUGGGCGUAAAGGGUCCGUAGGCGGUGUGGCAAGUCGGGAGUGAAAUCUCUGGGCUUAACUCAGAGGCUGCUUCCGAAACUGCCGUGCUAGAGUGUGAGAGAGGCGAGUGGAAUUGCGGGUGUAGCGGUGAAAUGCGUAGAUAUCCGCAGGAACAUCCGAGGCGAAAGCGGCUCGCUGGAUCACAACUGACGCUGAGGGACGAAAGCUAGGGGAGCAAACAGGAUUAGAUACCCUGGUAGUCCUAGCCCUAAACCAUCAGGACUUGGGGUUUGCCCUGUACGGGGCAAGUCCUGUAGCUAACGCGUUAAGUCCUGCGCCUGGGGAGUACGGUCGCAAGACUGAAACUCAAAGGAAUUGACGGGGGCCCGCACAAGCGGUGGAACAUGUGGUUCAAUUCGACGCAACGCGAAGAACCUUACCUGGGCUUGAACCGCACAGGACCAUCUUUGGAAACAGAGACUUCCCGCAAGGGACCUGUGUAGAGGUGCUGCAUGGCUGUCGUCAGCUCGUGCCGUGAGGUGUUGGGUUAAGUCCCGCGACGAGCGCAACCCUUGCCCUGUGUUACCAGCGGAUCAUGCCGGGGACUCAUGGGGAACUGCCGGUGAUAAACCGGAGGAAGGUGGGGAUGACGUCAAGUCAUCAUGGCCCUUACGCCCAGGGCUACACACGUGCUACAAUGGCCGAUACAAAGGGCUGCAAACUCGCGAGAGUGAGCCAAUCCCAUAAAGUCGGUCUAAGUUCGGAUUGCAGUCUGUAACUCGACUGCAUGAAGUCGGAAUCGCUAGUAAUCGUGGAUCAGCAACGCCACGGUGAAUACGUUCCCGGGCCUUGUACACACCGCCCGUCACGCCAUGGAAGCCGGGAGUGCCCGAAGUCCGUGCCCCAACCUCAGGGAGGGAGCGGCCGAAGGCAAGUUCGGUGACUGGGGCGAAG
RNAcentral lists this ribosomal RNA (1463 nucleotides) under uncultured forest soil bacterium. RNAcentral's name for it is "bacterial SSU rRNA". It matches the Rfam family "Bacterial small subunit ribosomal RNA". The record is from RNAcentral.